GGCUGUUCAAGAACAGGGUGGCUGUCCUCAAAUGAUUCGGGGGGACAGAGGAAAGGAGAACCUUGUUGUGGGUCAAAUGCAGAUGGCAUUUCACAUGCGAGAUCUUGGGAAUCAGGCAUGGAGGUGCUUCAGAAUGGGGACAUCAGUGCACAACCAGAGAGCUGAAUGUUUCAACAGUAUUUUAAAGCGGACAUGGAUUAAGAAAUGGCUGACAA
Non-coding RNA from Maylandia zebra (zebra mbuna), 215 nucleotides. The record is from RefSeq and is a predicted model, not a curated record. NCBI's taxonomy places the organism in Eukaryota, Metazoa, Chordata, Actinopteri, Cichliformes, Cichlidae.